This 405-nucleotide ribosomal RNA is filed under the name uncultured bacterium. RNAcentral's name for it is "partial 16S ribosomal RNA". It matches the Rfam family "Bacterial small subunit ribosomal RNA", at positions 28 to 526 of the family's 1533-position model. The record is from RNAcentral.
GAUGAACGCUGGCGGCGUGCCUAAUACAUGCAAGUCGAGCGACGCGUGGACGGGUGAGUAACACGUCUAUAACCUCCUAUAAGACUGGGAUAACUUCGGGAAACCGGUGCUAAACCGGCUACUUUUCGCUGGAUCCGCUCUGCAUUAGCUAGUUGGUAAGGUAACGGCUUACCAAGGCCACGAUGCCUAGCCGACCUGAGAGGGUGAUCGGCCACACUGGAACUGAGACACGGUCCAGACUCCUACGGGAGGCAGCAGUAGGGAAUAUUCCGCAAUGGGCGAAAGCCUGACGGAGCAACGCCGCGUGAGUGAUGAAGGUCUUCGGAUCGUAAAACACUGUUAUUAGGGAAGCGGUACCUACACAGAAAGCAACGGCUAACUACGUGCCAGCAGCCGCGGUAAUUC